RNAcentral lists this ribosomal RNA (1542 nucleotides) under Triticum aestivum (bread wheat). RNAcentral's name for it is "partial small subunit ribosomal RNA". The record is from RNAcentral. Lineage: Eukaryota; Viridiplantae; Streptophyta; Magnoliopsida; Poales; Poaceae.
AUGCAAAAGAUUUACGGUAUCUUGACCUGUCUAGGUCUUAUUUCGUUACCGCCAGAUUCAAUAUGUGUAUUGUAUAACUUGCAAACCUUAAGGCUCAUGGACUACCGGGAGCUGCAACAGCUACCAGAACACAUGGCAAGAUUGAGAAAGCUCAUCUAUCUUUAUCUUUAUGGAUGUUAUAGUCUCAAAAGUAUGUCUCGGAACUUUGGUCUACUAAACAACCUCUACACAUUAACAACAUUUGUUGUGGAUACUGGAGAUGGCCUUGGAAUAGAGCAACUCAAAGACUUGCAACACCUUAGCAAUAGGUUGGAACUGUGGAACUUGAGCAAGAUAAAGAGUGGGGAGAAUGCAAAAGAAGCCAAUCUCAGUCAGAAGCAAAACCUAUGUGAGUUGUUGUUCUCUUGGGACCAGGAAAUAAAUGAUGGGCAUAAGGAUAUGGCUUGUAAGGUGGAAGAGGUGCUUCAGGGUUUAGAACCUCACAGUAAUAUCCAAAAGUUAGAGAUAAUUGGAUAUGGUGGCUUAGAAAUAUCACAGUGGAUGAGAAAGCCUCGAAUGUUUAACUGCUUGAGAGAACUCGAAAUGUCCGACUACCUAGAAUGCAAGAGUAUACCUGUAGUAUGGUUCUCGACCUCUCUAGAGAUAUUGUCCUUACAGAAGAUGGAUAACCUGACCACAUUAUGUAAUAACCUUGAUGUGGACGCUGGAGCAUGCAUUACCCCUCUACAAAGUUUCCCAAGGUUGAAGAGGAUGUACUUGAAUGAGCUACCAAGCCUGGAGAUAUGGGAAGAAAACAGUGUGGGAGAGCCUUGUGAUAGCAUGGUAACAUUCCCGAUGUUUGAAGUGCUAAUGAUCCAAAAAUGCCCCAAGCUUGCAAGUAUUCCGGUGACCCCCAAUGUCGACGAGUUGACAAUAAUUGGAGUACACAGUACUGUAGUCAGUUUAGUUUUUAUGAGUAUCUGUUUGGGCACUUGGCCAUUUCUCGUCAGGUUAACUCUUUGGUCUUUGGAAGACAUAGCCAUGUUUCCUCUAGAUGCCCAGCAUCGCCAAAGUGAAAGUCCUCUUGAAAAACUCAAGUAUUUGGGUCUGCGUGACCCCUACAGCUUGGACAGAAGCUCCCGAUUGUCCAUACUGCACCUUAUGCCUUGGAAACGCUUUUCGUUCGUCGAAGAGCUGACAAUUGGUGAAUGGAACACUCUUGUCCGCUGGCCAACAGAGGAGCUCCGGUGCUUGGAUCGCCUCCGCGUUCUGUCGAUUGAUAAUUGUUACAACCUGGAGGGGAACACUUCACUAUCUGAGGAGGAGACCCUUCCGCUGUCCCUGGAGGAACUGACGAUUUUAUACUGCGAAAGCAUGGUUGCACUGCCUCCGAACCUUGGAAAUCUUGCCAAGCUGAGGAGGCUCGUUUUUACAUACUGCACUAGCCUGAAAGCGCUGCCUGAUGGGUUGUGUGGCCUCACUUCUCUUAGGGAAUUACAGAUUGAUUGUCCAGCUCUGGAGGAAUUUCCGCAUGGUCUCCUGGAGCGGUUGCCAGCCCUUUAA